GUGUCAGCCGCCGCGGUAAUACGAAGGGGGCUAGCGUUGUUCGGAAUUACUGGGCGUAAAGGGCGCGUAGGCGGUCUAUCAAGUUAGGUGUGAAAGCCCUGGGCUCAACCCAGGAACUGCAUUUAAGACUGAUAGGCUAGAGAUCUAGAGGGGAUAGUGGAAUUCCAAGUGUAGAGGUGAAAUUCGUAGAUAUUUGGAGGAACACCAGUGGCGAAGGCGACUAUCUGGCUAGAAUCUGACGCUGAGGCGCGAUAGCGUGGGGAGCAAACAGGAUUAGAUACCCUCGUAGUCC
Molecule: ribosomal RNA, 292 nt
Filed under: uncultured bacterium
Lineage: Bacteria
Description: partial 16S ribosomal RNA
Rfam family: Bacterial small subunit ribosomal RNA
Source: RNAcentral